Molecule: non-coding RNA, 953 nt
Organism: Microcebus murinus (gray mouse lemur)
Lineage: Eukaryota; Metazoa; Chordata; Mammalia; Primates; Cheirogaleidae
Source: RefSeq, a predicted model, not a curated record
CCUGCCACCUUCUGUUCCCUUCCCGUUCACUAGUCAUUACCAACCAGGGAUGUCAUACAAGUUUUCUCCCCUCACGGACCAUAUCUUUGGGAUUGGGACUUUUCCUUAGAGGGCUGCUGAUAGCAGACAGUCCCAGAUAGAAGUGUCAAUGGGGUCCAAGGGGAAGGAGACUAUGCCCUGCAGGCUCACUUCACAGGGAUCAACGAUUGUUCCACAGCUGUAGCUCUGGGCUGGCCGCUCCCCAACUCCUGGCCCUCAUGCCUUCUCGGAGUGCUCUAAAACCAGGCUGCCCACUCCGUGGAGUUCUCUGCACUUUAGUCUUUGGACUUCUCUUCACAUGUGUUCUGGUUUGUGGGGAGAAACCGGUGUGGGAAAAGCAGAGCAGUUGCUCUCCCCGCCCUGCCCUUGCUUCGUGUGGCUGGAUCCCAGGCCACUAGAGCAGAAGCUGGUGUGAGACUGAGGCCUCCUGGUGCCUGUCAAGGAUCAGAGGGGGACUAGAUCUCCCCAGCCCCUUCACCUUUUAAAUGUGAGUUGUCUUAAAAAGAAAAAACCAAGCAGCAGCAACAAUUUCUCUUUUUAAAAUAAGGACAAAUCUGUUGUUGUUUUUCAGAAACACAUUCUAUUCCUUUUGGCACCGCAAUAUUUUGGGCCAAAGCUCCUUCCAAGCCUAUGGUAGUUCCUCCCCGAGUCUCUCCCGCACAAUGCAGCCUCUCUUCCCUUGCUCUUCCCUCCCAAUGACGGUGGCUCACUGGGGCCUUCCUGUGGAACCCAGAGGCGCUGAGGACUGUGGCCUGGCUGGCCGGCCAGCGUGGUGCUCCUCAGGACUGCGGCACUGAGAUGAAACCUGGCCUCAGUUCAGGAACAGGGGCCACAACAGGGCAGGAACUCAUUGCAUAGGAACCACAACCAUCCAGAACCAUAGAAGUGGAAAAAAAAAAAAAAAAAAAAAAAAA